AUGAUUAAUCAGUUUAGGUGGUGCGCCAAAGAACCGUACCUAAACCUUCUCUAUAGGUGUACCCUCUGGCUGUUUCCACUCAUCAAAAGCAAUGAUAAUGUUGGUACUCGGAACUCUGCACAGACCCCACUUAAGAAUAUGCAAUUGAUCCUCUUUAGUGGGAAAAUCCACCUUGUAAGCCUGGUCCUCAAGCUUGUCAAGAUGCCACUGAUAAUUACCCGGUACCAGCUCACGCAGUUGCCUCACAAUCUGAGCCUCAGUCAUCUGUCCAUUAGUAACCCGAACCACUGCUGGAAAAGAACUCUCAACCAUCUGAGGCAAAGGAGCCACCUCCGGUGUCUCAAAGAACAUCAGCUCCUUGCAGCACACUUUUAUGCCAGGCUUAGGACCGGACAAGAGUGCGCAUUCACCGGUCACAUGCUGCGAUCUAAGGCAGUAGUCACAAAUUUCAUUAGUACACUCUGCCACAAAGUGUCCCGGUUUGCCACAUAUAUAGCAAGGCAAUUUCUUCUUCUUAAUUGCCCACUUUGA
This 531-nucleotide ribosomal RNA is filed under the name Triticum aestivum (bread wheat). Its description in RNAcentral is "partial small subunit ribosomal RNA". The record is from RNAcentral. Lineage: Eukaryota; Viridiplantae; Streptophyta; Magnoliopsida; Poales; Poaceae.